GAUUAAGUUAUUAAGGGCGCACGGUGGAUGCCUUGGCACUAGAAGCCGAUGAAGGACGUUACUAACGACGAUAUGCUUUGGGUAGCUGUAAGUAAGCGUUGAUCCAGAGAUUUCCGAAUGGGGGAACCUAGCAUGAGUUAUGUCAUGUUAUCGACAUGUGAAUUCAUAGCAUGUCAGAAGGCAGACCCGGAGAACUGAAACAUCUUAGUACCCGGAGGAAGAGAAAGAAAAAUCGAUUCCCUGAGUAGCGGCGAGCGAAACGGGAAGAGCCCAAACCAACAAGCUUGCUUGUUGGGGUUGUAGGACACUCUAUACGGAGUUACAAAAGAACAUGUUAGACGAAUCAUCUGGAAAGAUGAAUCAAAGAAGGUAAUAAUCCUGUAGUCGAAAACAUAUUCUCUCUUGAGUGGAUCCUGAGUACGACGGAGCACGUGAAAUUCCGUCGGAAUCUGGGAGGACCAUCUCCUAAGGCUAAAUACUCUCUAGUGACCGAUAGUGAACCAGUACCGUGAGGGAAAGGUGAAAAGUACCCCGGAAGGGGAGUGAAAGAGAACUUGAAACCGUGUGCUUACAAGUAGUCAGAGCCCGUUAAUGGGUGAUGGCGUGCCUUUUGUAGAAUGAACCGGCGAGUUACGAUCUGAUGCAAGGUUAAGCAGCAAAUGUGGAGCCGCAGCGAAAGCGAGUCUGAAUAGGGCGUUGAGUAUUUGGUCGUAGACCCGAAACCAGGUGAUCUACCCUUGGUCAGGUUGAAGUUCAGGUAACACUGAAUGGAGGACCGAACCGACUUACGUUGAAAAGUGAGCGGAUGAACUGAGGGUAGCGGAGAAAUUCCAAUCGAACUUGGAGAUAGCUGGUUCUCUCCGAAAUAGCUUUAGGGCUAGCCUCAAGUGAUGAUUAUUGGAGGUAGAGCACUGUUUGGACGAGGGGCCCCUCUCGGGUUACCGAAUUCAGACAAACUCCGAAUGCCAAUUAAUUUAACUUGGGAGUCAGAACAUGGGUGAUAAGGUCCGUGUUCGAAAGGGAAACAGCCCAGACCACCAGCUAAGGUCCCAAAAUAUAUGUUAAGUGGAAAAGGAUGUGGCGUUGCCCAGACAACUAGGAUGUUGGCUUAGAAGCAGCCAUCAUUUAAAGAGUGCGUAAUAGCUCACUAGUCGAGUGACACUGCGCCGAAAAUGUACCGGGGCUAAACAUAUUACCGAAGCUGUGGAUUGUCCUUUGGACAAUGGUAGGAGAGCGUUCUAAGGGCGUCGAAGCAUGAUCGCAAGGACAUGUGGAGCGCUUAGAAGUGAGAAUGCCGGUGUGAGUAGCGAAAGACGGGUGAGAAUCCCGUCCACCGAUUGACUAAGGUUUCCAGAGGAAGGCUCGUCCGCUCUGGGUUAGUCGGGUCCUAAGCUGAGGCCGACAGGCGUAGGCGAUGGAUAACAGGUUGAUAUUCCUGUACCACCUAGUAUCGUUUUAAUCGAUGGGGGGACGCAGUAGGAUAGGCGAAGCGUGCUGUUGGAGUGCACGUCCAAGCAGUAAGGCUGAGUGUUAGGCAAAUCCGGCACUCAUAAGGCUGAGCUGUGAUGGGGAGAGGAAAUUGUUUCCUCGAGUCGUUGAUUUCACACUGCCGAGAAAAGCCUCUAGAUAGAUAACAGGUGCCCGUACCGCAAACCGACACAGGUAGUCAAGAUGAGAAUUCUAAGGUGAGCGAGCGAACUCUCGUUAAGGAACUCGGCAAAAUGACCCCGUAACUUCGGGAGAAGGGGUGCUCUUUAGGGUUCACGCCCAGAAGAGCCGCAGUGAAUAGGCCCAAGCGACUGUUUAUCAAAAACACAGGUCUCUGCUAAACCGUAAGGUGAUGUAUAGGGGCUGACGCCUGCCCGGUGCUGGAAGGUUAAGAGGAGUGGUUAGCUUCUGCGAAGCUACGAAUC
This 1913-nucleotide ribosomal RNA is filed under the name Clostridioides difficile. RNAcentral's name for it is "partial 23S ribosomal RNA". It matches the Rfam family "Bacterial large subunit ribosomal RNA", at positions 1 to 1913 of the family's 2925-position model. The record is from RNAcentral. Lineage: Bacteria; Bacillati; Bacillota; Clostridia; Peptostreptococcales; Peptostreptococcaceae.